AGAAUGUUAAUAAAUGAUACCUGUGUGAAUAACCUCCUGACCACUGUUGGUUUCUGAGUUCCUAUCGGUCUUGGCUAUCGUCUCUGUCAGUCUUGGAGGAUGGAAGGAAAGUUCACAAACGCUGAUAUCAACUAAUUCUAGAGAAAGAAGACGAUCCUCAUGAAGGAAGGUAGUCUGCAGACCACGCUCCAGGGAAGACUAGUACAAGAACGUGAGGAAGUGUGUCUGCAGUGACUCUGCCACGUCCAUCUGCCUUAGCAGUCCCCAUCCCCAGCAACAGCAGUGGCUGACACUCCCUGCUAAUCAGAACGAGAUCUCGCCUC
Leopardus geoffroyi (Geoffroy's cat) is the source of this 323-nucleotide long non-coding RNA. RefSeq lists it as uncharacterized. Lineage: Eukaryota; Metazoa; Chordata; Mammalia; Carnivora; Felidae. The transcript is spliced from 3 exons. The record is from RefSeq and is a predicted model, not a curated record.